UACGUAGGGUGCAAGCGUUGUCCGGAAUUAUUGGGCGUAAAGAGCUUGUAGGCGGUCUGUCGCGUCUGCUGUGAAAAUCCGGGGCUCAACCCCGGACUUGCAGUGGGUACGGGCAGACUAGAGUGUGGUAGGGGAGACUGGAAUUCCUGGUGUAGCGGUGAAAUGCGCAGAUAUCAGGAGGAACACCGAUGGCGAAGGCAGGUCUCUGGGCCACUACUGACGCUGAGGAGCGAAAGCCAGGGGAGCAAACGGG
RNAcentral lists this ribosomal RNA (253 nucleotides) under uncultured bacterium. RNAcentral describes it as "partial 16S ribosomal RNA". It matches the Rfam family "Bacterial small subunit ribosomal RNA", at positions 524 to 776 of the family's 1533-position model. The record is from RNAcentral.